This 30-nucleotide non-coding RNA is filed under the name Cricetulus griseus (Chinese hamster). The record is from RNAcentral. Lineage: Eukaryota; Metazoa; Chordata; Mammalia; Rodentia; Cricetidae.
AAAAAGGACAGUCGGAAGAAAUUCAAAAGA